This 587-nucleotide ribosomal RNA is filed under the name uncultured bacterium. Its description in RNAcentral is "partial 16S ribosomal RNA". It matches the Rfam family "Bacterial small subunit ribosomal RNA", at positions 355 to 1376 of the family's 1533-position model. The record is from RNAcentral.
UGGGGAAUUUUGGACAAUGGGCGCAAGCCUGAUCCAGCCAUGCCGCGUGCGGGAAGAAGGCCUUCGGGUUGUAAACCGCUUUUGUCAGGGAAGAAAUCUUCUGAGUUAAUACCUCGGGAGGAUGACGGUACCUGAAGAAUAAGCACCGGCUAACUACGUGCCAGCAGCCGCGGUAAUACGUAGGGUGCAAGCGUUAAUCGGAAUUACUGGGCGUAAAGCGUGCGCAGGCGGUUUUGUAAGACAGAGGUGAAAUCCCCGGGCUCAACCUGGGAACUGCCUUUGUGACUGCAAGGCUUGGGUGCGGCAGAGGGGGAUGGAAUUCCGCGUGUAGCAGUGAAAUGCGUAGAUAUGCGGAGGAACACCGAUGGCGAAGGCAAUCCCCUGGGCCUGCACUGACGCUCAUGCACGAAAGCGUGGGGAGCAAACAGGAUUAGAUACCCUGGUAGUCCACGCCCUAAACGAUGUCAACUGGUUGUUGGGAAGGUUCCUUCUCAGUAACGUAGCUAACGCGUGAAGUUGACCGCCUGGGGAGUACGGCCGCAAGGUUGAAAACUCAAAUGAAUUGACGGGGUCAUAGCUGUUUCCUG